This 468-nucleotide ribosomal RNA is filed under the name uncultured bacterium. Its description in RNAcentral is "partial 16S ribosomal RNA". It matches the Rfam family "Bacterial small subunit ribosomal RNA", at positions 28 to 507 of the family's 1533-position model. The record is from RNAcentral.
GAUGAACGCUGGCGGCGUGCCUAACACAUGCAAGUCGAACGGAAAGGCCCUGCUUUUGUGGGUUUCUCGAGUGGCGAACGGGGGAGUAACACAUGAGUAACCUGCCCUUGACUGUGGGGGAACUUCUGGAGACUGCGGCUAAUACCGGAGAUGAGCUCCUGCUGCAUGUUGGGGGUUGGAAAGUGUCGGCGGUGGGGGAUGGUCUCGCGGCUUAUCAGCUGGUUUGUGGGGUAGUGGCUGACCACGGGUUUGACGGGUAGCCGGCCUGGGAGGGGGACCGGACACAUUGGGACUGCGGUAGGGAGCAGACGGCAAUGGGAGGCAGUAGUGGAGAAUAUUGCACAAUGGGCGGAAGCCUGAUGCAGCAACGCUGCGUGCGGGAUGCCGGCUUUCGGGUUGUAAACCAAUUUCGCCUGUGACGAAGCGUGAGUGACGGUAAUGAGUCAAGAAGCAACGGCUAACUACGUG